UCCAUUCUGGCUUUCCUUGUCAAGACUCCAACAUCCAGUUGUUUGUUCGAUAUCUUUAUCCAAAAAUCUAGUCCUUUUUUCUAGAUUAUCCCAACCCAUUAACUAGACAAGAGAAAAGGGAAAUUGUGGUUUAGAUUUGGACGAUAAUGAGGGAGGAGGACUUGAAUUGGUUCUCGAGAUGGGAAGAGGAACUCAUGCCUCUCUCCCGAACCCUAAUCUCGCCUGAUCUUGCCAUGGCUUUCAACAUCCGAAACUGGCCCCCACAAUAAUAGCCCUCACUAUCUUCGAAUCCCUUGCCUUCUCCCAGAAGUGUUUUAGGAAGGAACCGGAGAGGCCUAAUUCUCCAUGCAAUGUGCCCAAUAGAAUGCUGAGGUCACCCUCGUCGAGUCAUAGAUUUGACGGAGGCAGUAAUCUCUGAAAGCGAAUGAUGAGUCCGAAGGCUAAUUGCAAAGCACACUCAGUAUUUCUCCUCGUCAAUGCGAAAGGAGAAUAGGAGAGCAUUUUUGUUCUGUGAAGCAAAUCUCAAGCAGUCUCUUCAUUUCCGUAGUCAAUACAAAGCGAUUUUGGAGUUUCGUUGAUUCAGUUGACUCGAAGUGAAAUGCUCUCUGCAAUUUGGCUGCUAAUUCUGGUUUUGUUGAGAUUGGAUAUCAUGCAAACUGGUAAAGAUGUAGAUCUUUUAUGUUUAUGCUUAUGCACCUUCAACUUGCUGGUUUUGCGCUA
Prosopis cineraria is the source of this 720-nucleotide long non-coding RNA. RefSeq lists it as uncharacterized. NCBI's taxonomy places the organism in Eukaryota, Viridiplantae, Streptophyta, Magnoliopsida, Fabales, Fabaceae. The record is from RefSeq and is a predicted model, not a curated record. The transcript is spliced from 2 exons.